Molecule: long non-coding RNA, 442 nt
Organism: Cygnus olor (mute swan)
Lineage: Eukaryota; Metazoa; Chordata; Aves; Anseriformes; Anatidae
Exons: 2
Source: RefSeq, a predicted model, not a curated record
UAGUUGUUGGGUCUUUAUUCCUCUGGGCCAGGUUUCAGACCUGCUGUCAACCAAAGAUAUGCUGCAGAGAAGGUGCUGGAAAGUGAAGCAUGAGGGGGCUGUGUACGUUUUGGUACACCCCACGCCUAAGGUAUCUCUCCCCUGCACAGCUCUGCCUUCCACAGAGGCAGUCUCAUCCUACAGUUUCCAGACUUGGUGUGGCUGAGCCCCCAAGGAAACUCCCCACAUGGAUCACACUGGAUCUGUGUACCCUUGCUGUACUCAGCUCACUGCUCUUCCUUCUGGAGGCUGAAGCAAAAUUUGGGUGAAGGACAUCAGAUCUCCCACCUUAACAGAAACAGCUGCUAAGAUGUUAAGUUGGAAAUACCUUUCCAACUGAUACCAAAGAGAAAAACACAGCCAAGGCAGUCAGGAGAAGCAGUAUUAAACACAGCAAAUUGAA